Molecule: long non-coding RNA, 594 nt
Organism: Lotus japonicus
Lineage: Eukaryota; Viridiplantae; Streptophyta; Magnoliopsida; Fabales; Fabaceae
Exons: 4
Source: RefSeq, a predicted model, not a curated record
CUUAAAAUCAUAUGCAUUAAUUUAAUGUACCAGUUUUUUCGAUGGCAAGUUGCUAUAGAAGAAUUCUUGAGCUAGAAGCUUCUCGUGACCUUUCAAGUUUUUGGUUACUUGCAGAAAUGGAUGUUUUCUAUGCAGCAGUUGAGACUUUAAGUAACCCUACAUUCAACGGAAAGGCAAUGGCUGUUGGUAGCAUGUCUAUGAUAUCCACUUCCAGUCAUAAGGCCCGGAAAUUUGGGGUUCGUUCUGCCAUCCCCAAGUUCAUUGCGCAUAAGUAAUGUCCAGAAUUGAUCUUUGUCCCAAGAGAUUUCAAGAAGCAUAUGUAGAUUUCAAGAAGUAUAUGUAUUACAGUGAUUUGACCAUAAAAGUUCUUCAGAGGUAUGAUCCCAAUUUCAUUGCUGGUAGCCUGGAUGGAGCAUACCUUGAUAAAACUGAAGUUUGCAAAGAAAGGAAUGUCAAAAGUGAAGAAGUACUCUAUUGGGAAUGAAUCUUUCAUAUCGUAAAGCUUAGACGUAGCGAUUUUGAUACAAAUGAGAAGUUUUGGACAAGGUUUCCGAUUCAAGGAUCUAAAGUUAUUCCACCACAUAUAUCAGUAUA